RNAcentral lists this ribosomal RNA (1300 nucleotides) under metagenome. Its description in RNAcentral is "bacterial SSU rRNA". It matches the Rfam family "Bacterial small subunit ribosomal RNA", at positions 173 to 1498 of the family's 1533-position model. The record is from RNAcentral.
UAAGCCCACGGCUCGGCAUCGAGCAGAGGGAAAAGGAGCAAUCCGCUUUGAGAUGGCCUCGCGUCCGAUUAGCUAGUUGGUGAGGUAACGGCCCACCAAGGCGACGAUCGGUAGCCGGACUGAGAGGUUGAACGGCCACAUUGGGACUGAGACACGGCCCAGACUCCUACGGGAGGCAGCAGUGGGGAAUAUUGCACAAUGGGGGAAACCCUGAUGCAGCGACGCCGCGUGGAGGAAGAAGGUCUUCGGAUUGUAAACUCCUGUUGUUGAGGAAGAUAAUGACGGUACUCAACAAGGAAGUGACGGCUAACUACGUGCCAGCAGCCGCGGUAAAACGUAGGUCACAAGCGUUGUCCGGGAUUACUGGGUGUAAAGGGAGCGCAGGCGGGAAGACAAGUUGGAAGUGAAAUCCAUGGGCUCAACCCAUGAACUGCUUUCAAAACUGUUUUUCUUGAGUAGUGCAGAGGUAGGCGGAAUUCCCGGUGUAGCGGUGGAAUGCGUAGAUAUCGGGAGGAACACCAGUGGCGAAGGCGGCCUACUGGGCACCAACUGACGCUGAGGCUCGAAAGUGUGGGUAGCAAACAGGAUUAGAUACCCUGGUAGUCCACACCGUAAACGAUGAUUACUAGGUGUUGGAGGAUUGACCCCUUCAGUGCCGCAGUUAACACAAUAAGUAAUCCACCUGGGGAGUACGACCGCAAGGUUGAAACUCAAAGGAAUUGACGGGGGCCCGCACAAGCAGUGGAGUAUGUGGUUUAAUUCGACGCAACGCGAAGAACCUUACCAAGUCUUGACAUCCUGCGGCGGUGCUGGAAACAGUACUUUCCUUCGGGACGCAGAGACAGGUGGUGCAUGGUUGUCGUCAGCUCGUGUCGUGAGAUGUUGGGUUAAGUCCCGCAACGAGCGCGACCCUUAUGGUCAGUUACUACGCAAGAGGACUCUGGCCAGACUGCCGUUGACAAAACGGAGGAAGGUGGGGAUGACGUCAAAUCAUCAUGCCCUUUAUGACUUGGGCUACACACGUACUACAAUGGCGUUAAACAAAGAGAAGCAAGACCGCGAGGUGGAGCAAAACUCAGAAACAACGUCCCAGUUCGGACUGCAGGCUGCAACUCGCCUGCACGAAGUCGGAAUUGCUAGUAAUCGCAGAUCAGCAUGCUGCGGUGAAUACGUUCCCGGGCCUUGUACACACCGCCCGUCACACCAUGAGAGCCGGGGGGACCCGAAGUCGGUAGUCUAACCGCAAGGAGGACGCCGCCGAAGGUAAAACUGGUGAUUGGGGUGAAGUCGUAACAAGGUA